This 465-nucleotide ribosomal RNA is filed under the name uncultured bacterium. Its description in RNAcentral is "partial 16S ribosomal RNA". It matches the Rfam family "Bacterial small subunit ribosomal RNA", at positions 338 to 795 of the family's 1533-position model. The record is from RNAcentral.
CCUACGUGGGGCAGCAGUGGGGAAUAUUGCGCAAUGGGCGAAAGCCUGACGCAGCGACGCCGCGUGAGGGAUGAAGGUCUUCGGAUCGUAAACCUCUGUCAGCAGGGAAGAACGGUCACUGUGCUAAUCAGCAGUGAAUUGACGGUACCUGCAAAGGAAGCACCGGCUAACUCCGUGCCAGCAGCCGCGGUAAUACGGAGGGUGCGAGCGUUAAUCGGAAUUACUGGGCGUAAAGCGCUCGUAGGCGGUAUGUCAAGUCAAGGGUGAAAUCCCCGCGCUCAACGUGGGAACUGCCUUUGAAACUGGCAAACUGGAGUGUGUGAGAGGAUAGUGGAAUUCCAGGUGUAGGAGUGAAAUCCGUAGAUAUCUGGAGGAACAUCAGUGGCGAAGGCGACUAUCUGGCACAUAACUGAUGCUGAGGAGCGAAAGCGUGGGUAGCAAACAGGAUUAGAUACCCCAGUAGUC